Branchiostoma floridae (Florida lancelet) is the source of this 441-nucleotide long non-coding RNA. RefSeq lists it as uncharacterized. Lineage: Eukaryota; Metazoa; Chordata; Leptocardii; Amphioxiformes; Branchiostomatidae. The record is from RefSeq and is a predicted model, not a curated record. The transcript has 3 exons.
UGGCUGCCCCAAACUUUCCACCAGACGAGUUUGAUGAUCAGUUUCUGACUUGUGACGUCUGCAAGAGCCUCUACAACGACCCGCGAGUCCUGCCGUGUUUUCACACCUUCUGUGCCAGGUGUUUGGAACAAUGGCGAAAGGGAUGUAGUCAAUUCACCUGUCCUACCUGUCGACAACAGCCCUGCGAACCUGCUAGAUGACACCCGACACCGCCUGGCGUACGCAUGCGCGUUCGGUGCCACGGCAACCAGCUGCCUGACGCUGUUCGGGUCCUACUGUCCUCCUGGCACCCCCGGCUGGUUAGCUGUUUUCUACGCCAUCGCGAAGGUUGCAGAGUUGGGGAUCGACUACUACCCAUUCUUCGCCUGCAUGUCCGCCAGCUCCCGGCUGCUGGGGGCCGGGAUCGGUCUGCUGUACUCCGCCGUCUGGCUGCUGUUCUAC